Molecule: long non-coding RNA, 388 nt
Filed under: Lathyrus oleraceus (garden pea)
Lineage: Eukaryota; Viridiplantae; Streptophyta; Magnoliopsida; Fabales; Fabaceae
Description: Pisum sativum (pea) long non-coding RNA (PSAT_LNC016992)
Source: RNAcentral
UUUGUUUUUUAGCCAGUUAGCCAAAAAGCCAACCCUGAAAUAAUAUCAUCCCUUGUUUGAAACCCCCUUGAGCCUAUUAUCCUUUUUUUGUUUAAAACUCAUUACAAAUCGAGAAGUGAAAAACAAUGUUAUAUCAUCCUAUUCAAAGGGUUGAAAGAGUCUUGUUUGGAGUUGUGCGGGGUUGAAUAAUUAUGUUUGCAAUAUUUCAGAAGUUGGUAGAAAAAGAAAAGAAAAAUAGAUACGAAAAAAAAAUGAAUGAAAAAAAUAGAAGGAUGUAUACAUGUCAAUACACACUCCUUAUGAAAAAGAAAAAAAUAAGAAGAAAAAAGAGAAAGGAGAAAAAAAAUAUGAACGAAAACAGUUAAUAUAGAGUUGUUGAAGUGAAUGC